AUAUUUAGUGAUUGGCAUGUAAACCUAUACAUUGAUUGAAUCAAACUCCAAAUAUGUUUAUAUAUCCUUUUUUUUAAUUAUAGUAUGUGAUGAUUUAUUUUAUUUUAUUUUUAAAAUUUUUUUUGGUAAAGAUGAAUUUAUGUAUUUAUUAUUUAAUAAAUUGAUAGGAAUAUUUAGAAUCAUAAAGAUGAUUUUCUAGUUGUAUUUAAGAUUUGUUUUUUUUUUUUUAGGGUUUUUGGUAACAAACUCAAUAAUUUUCUGUAAACAAAGAAAAACGAUUUCGAUUCUUUGAUCACACUUCAUUUAGAAACCAAGCAAGUCAAUUAAUGGAAUCAAAUUUACUCAAAACAUGAAUGACAUUAGAAUAUUGCAAAAGGUAUUAAGAAAACAUAUAUGAUGAUGUGUUCAAGUGUAUAAGCAUACGUUAGCAAAAACAUUGACCAAGGAAUCUACAUCUAAGAAGAUUCCCUUAUAAAAG
Molecule: long non-coding RNA, 478 nt
Filed under: Capsella rubella
Lineage: Eukaryota; Viridiplantae; Streptophyta; Magnoliopsida; Brassicales; Brassicaceae
Description: long non-coding RNA (CRUB_LNC003752)
Source: RNAcentral